CUUAGACCCAGCAGAUGUGGGAAGAACAGCAAGUUUUGUCUUUAUAUCAGCUACAAAUUAAUGGAUCUCCUCUACUGGUUAGGUGAAGUCGUUGCAGAUGAAAGCGUGGCAUGAGCAUAAUGCUGUUCAACCACAUCUACUGUUUAAACACCAAUGGGUAUACAUGAUUCCAACAUAUUUGUAUGCAGUACAAAGGCUGGCUAUUCGGUCCAUUAUGCAAAAGUCUUUGAUUUGUGGUCACACCCACAAUGAGGGAGAUGCACUUCACAGCAUCAUUGAGAGAGCAGUUAAAGAGUGCUAAGAAGUCAGGGCCAAUUUAUUUCCUAAUCAAUACAUAUCAGUCAUCCUUAAUGCAAAAAAGAAGGGAAAUCCGUUACAUCUUACAGAAAUGGGUUUUUCAGAUUUCAAUGACAUUAAAGCUUUGCAUGAUGAGAUGGCUCCUUGCAUGGGCAAGGACGUUGACGGGAGCAUUUUCAGAGCGUCCGAAAUUAAAUUAUUUCCAUGUGAAAAGGGAAGUGAUGUGUUUCAGUAUAAGAACAGCUACAAACAGUCUGGGUGGGGACAAGUUCAGUUCAAAGGGAGAAAGAGACAUUUAAGAGUGAAUGUAGAUGGGAGUAAUUUGGAUCUGAAACCUGCUUACACUACAAAAAUGACCCUCUCAGGAAAUAAAAUUCAAGAUCUAAAGAAUUUGGUUAACAGCAACACCAUUUCUAAAUAUUACAAGGCCUUCUAUGAUCCCCUUUCUACAUAAAUGUAAUUUGUUGCUUUUAUGUCAUUUGGAAAUUCUUAAUUUCACUUAUUAUAUUAUUUUA
Schistocerca gregaria is the source of this 812-nucleotide long non-coding RNA. RefSeq lists it as uncharacterized. The transcript has 3 exons. Lineage: Eukaryota; Metazoa; Arthropoda; Insecta; Orthoptera; Acrididae. The record is from RefSeq and is a predicted model, not a curated record.